GUACACUCCUACGGGAGGCAGCAGUGGGGAAUAUUGGACAAUGGGCGCAAGCCUGAUCCAGCCAUGCCGCGUGAGUGAUGAAGGCCCUAGGGUUGUAAAGCUCUUUCACCGGUGAAGAUAAUGACGGUAACCGGAGAAGAAGCCCCGGCUAACUUCGUGCCAGCAGCCGCGGUAAUACGAAGGGGGCUAGCGUUGUUCGGAUUUACUGGGCGUAAAGCGCACGUAGGCGGACUAUUAAGUCAGGGGUGAAAUCCCGGGGCUCAACCCCGGAAUUGCCUUUGAUACUGGUAGUCUUGAGUUCGAGAGAGGUGAGUGGAAUUCCGAGUGCAGAGGUGAAAUUCGUAGAUAUUCGGAGGAACACCAGUGGCGAAGGCGGCUCACUGGCUCGAUACUGACGCUGAGGUGCGAAAGCGUGGGGAGCAAACAGGAUUAGAAACCCCGGUAGUCCCAUGA
RNAcentral lists this ribosomal RNA (453 nucleotides) under uncultured organism. RNAcentral's name for it is "partial 16S ribosomal RNA". It matches the Rfam family "Bacterial small subunit ribosomal RNA", at positions 331 to 800 of the family's 1533-position model. The record is from RNAcentral.